ACUCAGUCCACCAUGCAGAAAAUAAUGUAACUUCCUCUUGUAAAUAAUAAAACAAAAAUACAGGUAAUUAAAAGAAGUCCUCUGAUCUGGAAACUAAUUAACUUCCUCUUAUAAAUAAUAAAACAAAAAUACAGGUAAUUAAAAGAAGUCCUCUGAUCUGGAAACUAAUUAACUUCCUCUUAUAAAUAAUGGAACAAAAUACAGGUAAUUAAAAGAAAUCCUCUGGUCUGGAAACUAAUUAACUUCCUCUUGUAAAGAAUAAAACAAAAAUACAGGUAAUUAAAAGAAGUCCUCUGAUCUGGAAACUAAUGUAACUUCCUCUUGUAAAGAAUAAAACAAAAAUACAGGUAAUUAAAAGAAGUCCUCUGAUCUGGAAACUAAUUAACUUCCUCUUAUAAAUAAUAGAACAAAAUAUAGGUAAUUAAAAGAAGUCCUCUGAUCUGGAAACUAAUUAACUUCCUCUUAUAAAUAAUAGAACAAAAUACAGGUAAUUAAAAGAAGUCCUCUGAUCUGGAAACUAAUUAACUUCCUCUUGUAAAGAAUAAAACAAAAAUACAGGUAAUUAAAAGAAGUCCUGUGAUCUGGAAACUAAUUAACUUCCUCUUAUAAAUAAUAGAACAAAAUAUAGGUAAUUAAAAGAAGUCCUCUGAUCUGGAAACUAAUUAACUUCCUCUUAUAAAUAAUAGAACAAAAUACAGGUAAUUAAAAGAAGUCCUCUGAUCUGGAAACUAAUGUGUGUUCCUUUUGUAAAUAAUAAAAUGAAAUACAAAUAAUUAAAAGAAGUCCUCUGAUCUAGAACCUAAUGUAACUUCCUCUUGUAAAUAAUAGAGCCAAAUGAAAUACUGGAGCUUCUUCAAACAUAGAGUUACAGUGUUGAACUCAUGCCAAGAAAAUGAAUAGGAAAACAAUGCUAUAUCCCAAACACACAGAGGCAAACAAUCAUUGAAGGUAGUGACUGAAUAAUACUGAAUGCAGACUAAUUUUUUAACUAAUACGGAAAAAAAAAAUAAAAAUACAAAAAAUAAUACAAAAAAAAUUAUAUAUGAAAGAAUUGUAAGGAGAUGAACACCAGAAGAACAACGCUCCUUCAGAAUUUGAGGCACGACAGCGCGAGACAUUUUUUUUAUAUAUAU
This is a long non-coding RNA of Eriocheir sinensis (Chinese mitten crab), 1133 nucleotides long. RefSeq lists it as uncharacterized. The record is from RefSeq and is a predicted model, not a curated record. The transcript is spliced from 3 exons. NCBI's taxonomy places the organism in Eukaryota, Metazoa, Arthropoda, Malacostraca, Decapoda, Varunidae.